ACGCCGCUCCCCGCGCCAUCCUGGGCACUGCGAGGGGCAGGAGACCCGUGAGGGGCUGAAUCCCCCCGUGGUGUGUGUGUGUGUGUCUGUGUUGAACGUUUCUGUCUCUGCUGAAUAAACGCGGGUGUUCACCUCAGUUUCCUCACACAUUUUCAUGUUGAAGCUGAAUCCUAGCUAAAGAGGAGCGGUCCUGAAGCUGUGAGCAGACAUGGAGGAUGUGAUACUAUCCUUCCAAGUGGACAUGAACUAGAUGAUCAGAAGCUGUGUAAGUUCCAGGCUUCCAGGAAUGGGUGCCUAAUGGCAGAAAGAGGCAAAGAAAGCAAAAAGGCCCAUGGCUCAAAUCAGUAGAAAUCUGAGAAAUGAUGAGAAACGUGAUGUCUUCAGUGGUUGCUGUUUCACACUUGGAGAACAGAGCUGUCAUUUUUUGCAGUUAGAAGGCUACCAGGAAGGGAAGGAAUUACUUUGAGCCCAGGAGCAGAGUGAGAGAAAUUAUUGUCUUCAGAAUCCAUUGGGAACAGGACCAUCAGACUGAGAAGAAGGUAGCUUACACAUUUGUUGAGAUUCAGAAUUCCUGAUGCCAAGGGAAUCCCGGAGGUCUGACAAGUCUGGUGUGAUAAGAGAUGUUUGAGUUAAGCACUUUAUGGAUGAAGAGGACAUGAUGUCACAAAACAAGUUUGGCUAUUCUUACUUCCAUUUAGAAACUGUGUUAAUAUUUGGAGUCUGCCUGCAGGUUUUAAAUGGAAAGAUCUCAUUUCUCUGCUGUAGUAUAAUGUUUAAUACACCAGACAUUAUAAUGUUUAAUAUACCAGGCAUACAAUGCAUUGCUCAUAUUGUUAUGUGUAACUCACUUUUUAUGUGUACCGUGAAAUAAAGGAAGU
Molecule: long non-coding RNA, 878 nt
Organism: Cygnus olor (mute swan)
Lineage: Eukaryota; Metazoa; Chordata; Aves; Anseriformes; Anatidae
Exons: 5
Source: RefSeq, a predicted model, not a curated record